This 65-nucleotide transfer RNA is filed under the name Reticulitermes labralis. Its description in RNAcentral is "tRNA-Thr". It matches the Rfam family "tRNA". Rfam says of the family: Transfer RNA (tRNA) molecules are approximately 80 nucleotides in length. Their secondary structure includes four short double-helical elements and three loops (D, anti-codon, and T loops). Further hydrogen bonds mediate the characteristic L-shaped molecular structure. tRNAs have two regions of fundamental functional importance: the anti-codon, which is responsible for specific mRNA codon recognition, and the 3' end, to which the tRNAs corresponding amino acid is attached (by aminoacyl-tRNA synthetases). tRNAs cope with the degeneracy of the genetic code in two manners: having more than one tRNA (with a specific anti-codon) for a particular amino acid; and 'wobble' base-pairing, i.e. permitting non-standard base-pairing at the 3rd anti-codon position. Lineage: Eukaryota; Metazoa; Arthropoda; Insecta; Blattodea; Rhinotermitidae. The record is from RNAcentral.
GUUUUAAUAAUUUAACAAAAAUAUUGGUCUUGUAAACCAAAAAUAAGGAAUCAACUUUUAAAGCU